Molecule: ribosomal RNA, 428 nt
Filed under: uncultured bacterium
Lineage: Bacteria
Description: bacterial SSU rRNA
Rfam family: Bacterial small subunit ribosomal RNA
Source: RNAcentral
CCAGACUCCUACGGGAGGCAGCAGUGGGGAAUAUUGCACAAUGGGGGAAACCCUGAUGCAGCGACGCCGCGUGAGUGAAGAAGUAUUUCGGUAUGUAAAGCUCUAUCAGCAGGGAAGAAAAUGACGGUACCUGACUAAGAAGCCCCGGCUAACUACGUGCCAGCAGCCGCGGUAAUACGUAGGGGGCAAGCGUUAUCCGGAUUUACUGGGUGUAAAGGGAGCGUAGACGGCAUGGCAAGUCAGAUGUGAAAGCCCGGGGCGCAACCCCGGGACUGCAUUGGAAACUGUCAGGCUGGAGUGCAGGAGAGGUAAGUGGAAUUCCUAGUGUAGCGGUGAAAUGCGUAGAUAUUAGGAGGAACACCAGUGGCGAAGGCGGCUUUCUGGCUCAUAACUGACGCUGAGGCGCGAAAGCGUGGGGAGCAGACAGG